AUUGAACGCUGGCGGCAGGCCUAACACAUGCAAGUCGAACGGUAACAGGAAGCAGCUUGCUGCUUCGCUGACGAGUGGCGGACGGGUGAGUAAUGUCUGGGAAGCUGCCUGAUGGAGGGGGAUAACUACUGGAAACGGUAGCUAAUACCGCAUAAUGUCGCAAGACCAAAGAGGGGGACCUUCGGGCCUCUUGCCAUCGGAUGUGCCCCGAUGGGAUUAGCUUGUUGGUGGGGUAACGGCUCACCAAGGCGACGAUCCCUAGCUGGUCUGAGAGGAUGAACAGCCACACUGGAACUGAGACACGGUCCAGACUCCUACGGGAGGCAGCAGUGGGGAAUAUUGCACAAUGGGCGCAAGCCUGAUGCAGCCAUGCCGCGUGUAUGAAGAAGGCCUUCGGGUUGUAAAGUACUUUCAGCGGGGAGGAAGGGAGUAAAGUUAAUACCUUUGCUCAUUGACGUUACCCGCAGAAGAAGCACCGGCUAACUCCGUG
This 490-nucleotide ribosomal RNA is filed under the name uncultured bacterium. RNAcentral's name for it is "partial 16S ribosomal RNA". It matches the Rfam family "Bacterial small subunit ribosomal RNA", at positions 30 to 507 of the family's 1533-position model. The record is from RNAcentral.